GUCGAACGAAAAGACGGAAAGAGCUUGCUCUUUUCAGAAUUGAGUGGCACACGGGUGAGUAACACGUAAACAACCUGCCUUCAGGAUGGGGACAACAGACGGAAACGACUGCUAAUACCGAAUAAGUUCCAAGAGCCGCAUGGCCCAUGGAAGAAAAGGUGGCCUCUACCUGUAAGCUAUCGCCUGAAGAGGGGUUUGCGUCUGAUUAGCUGGUUGGAGGGGUAACGGCCCACCAAGGCGACGAUCAGUAGCCGGUCUGAGAGGAUGAACGGCCACACUGGAACUGAGACACGGUCCAGACUCCUACGGGAGGCAGCAGUGGGGAAUCUUCCGCAAUGGGCGAAAGCCUGGCGGAGCAACGCCGCGUGAGUGAUGACGGCCUUCGGGUUGUAAAACUCUGUGAUCCGGGACGAAAAGGCAGAGUGCGAAGAACAAACUGCAUUGACGGUACCGGAAAAGCAAGCCACGGCUAACUACGUGCCAGCAGCCGCGGUAAUACGUAGGUGGCAAGCGUUGUCCGGAAUUAUUGGGCGUAAAGCGCGCGCAGGCGGCUUCCCAAGUCCCUCUUAAAAGUGCGGGGCUUAACCCCGUGAUGGGAAGGAAACUGGGAAGCUGGAGUAUCGGAGAGGAAAGUGGAAUUCCUAGUGUAGCGGUGAAAUGCGU
RNAcentral lists this ribosomal RNA (663 nucleotides) under uncultured bacterium. RNAcentral's name for it is "bacterial SSU rRNA". It matches the Rfam family "Bacterial small subunit ribosomal RNA", at positions 61 to 691 of the family's 1533-position model. The record is from RNAcentral.